GAUGAACGCUGGCGGCGUGCCUAAUACAUGCAAGUCGAGCGAACAGACGAGGAGCUUGCUCCUCUGACGUUAGCGGCGGACGGGUGAGUAACACGUGGAUAACCUACCUAUAAGACUGGGAUAACUUCGGGAAACCGGAGCUAAUACCGGAUAAUAUAUUGAACCGCAUGGUUCAAUAGUGAAAGACGGUUUUGCUGUCCCUUAUAGAUGGAUCCGCGCCGCAUUAGCUAGUUGGUAAGGUAACGGCUUACCAAGGCAACGAUGCGUAGCCGACCUGAGAGGAUGAGCGGCCACACUGGAACUGAGACACGGUCCAGACUCCUACGGGAGGCAGCAGUAGGGAAUCUUCCGCAAUGGGCGAAAGCUUGACGGAGCAACGCCGCGUGAGUGAUGAAGGUCUUCGGAUCGUAAAACUCUGUUAUUAGGGAAGAACAAAUGUGUAAGUAACUAUGCACGUCUUGACGGUACCUAAUCAGAAAGCCACGGCUAACUACGUG
Molecule: ribosomal RNA, 497 nt
Filed under: uncultured bacterium
Lineage: Bacteria
Description: partial 16S ribosomal RNA
Rfam family: Bacterial small subunit ribosomal RNA
Source: RNAcentral